This is a non-coding RNA of Pseudomonas monteilii, 68 nucleotides long. The record is from Rfam. Lineage: Bacteria; Pseudomonadati; Pseudomonadota; Gammaproteobacteria; Pseudomonadales; Pseudomonadaceae.
GUCACAGGUGGUGCGGCCCCAGCGAUGGGGCAGCGCCGAAGCGCAGUACUAACGAAGACGGUAAAAAG